Molecule: ribosomal RNA, 798 nt
Filed under: uncultured fungus
Lineage: Eukaryota; Fungi
Description: eukaryotic LSU rRNA
Rfam family: Eukaryotic small subunit ribosomal RNA (bases 1-241)
Source: RNAcentral
UUGCUCUUCAACGAGGAAUGCCUAGUAAGCGCGUGUCAUCAGCACGCGUUGAUUACGUCCCUGCCCUUUGUACACACCGCCCGUCGCUACUACCGAUUGAAUGGCUUAGUGAGGCGUUCGGACUGGCCCAGGGAGGUCGGCAACGACCACCCAGGGCCGGAAAGUUCGUCAAACUUGGUCAUUUAGAGGAAGUAAAAGUCGUAACAAGGUCUCCGUAGGUGAACCUGCGGAGGGAUCAUUACCGAAAGGUGCUCUGUUCUCGCCCUCCCGUCCGUGGUUAACGCCGCCGGCGGGUGCGGCCGGGAACCCAUCUCUUCAAACCCCAUGUUAUCCGACACCGUUGCCUCGGGGGCGACCCGGCCGUUAGCGGUUGGGGCCCCCGGCGGACCGUCAAACACUGCAUCUGUGCGUCCGAGUCCAAUGAUAAAUCAAUCAAAACUUUCAACAACGGAUCUCUUGGUUCUGGCAUCGAUGAAGAACGCAGCGAAAUGCGAUAAGUAAUGUGAAUUGCAGAAUUCAGUGAAUCAUCGAAUCUUUGAACGCACAUUGCGCCCUUCGGUAUUCCGGGGGGCAUGCCUGUUCGAGCGUCAUUUCACCACUCCAGCCUAGCUGGGCCUUGGGCGUCGCCGUCUCGCGGCGCGCCCCAAUGUCUCCGGCUGAGCCGUCCGUCUCUAAGCGUUGUGGCAACCCAAUUCGCUUGUGGGAUCGGGAGGUUCGACGCCGCUAAACACCACACAAGGUUGACCUCGGAUCAGGUAGGGAUACCCGCUGAACUUAAGCAUAUCAAUAAGCGGAGGA